Molecule: non-coding RNA, 74 nt
Organism: Ameiurus melas (black bullhead)
Lineage: Eukaryota; Metazoa; Chordata; Actinopteri; Siluriformes; Ictaluridae
Source: the annotation of a GenBank genome assembly
GGCAGUGGUGGUUUGGUGGUUAAGACUCUGAGUGACUGAUCAGAAGGUCAGGGGUUCGAACCCCAGUACUGCCA